ACACACACACACACACACACACACACACACACAGCAACUACAGCACACAGGUAGAGGGACACACACACACACACAGCAACUACAGCACACAGGUAGAGGGACACACACACACACACAGCAACUACAGCACACAGGUAGACUAGACACGCACACACAGCAACUACAGCACACAGGUAGAGGGACACACACACACAGCAACUACAGCACACAGGUAGAGGGACACACACACACACAGCAACUACAGCACACAGGUAGAGGGACACACACACACAGCAACUACAGCACACAGGUAGAGGGACACACACACACACAGCAACUACAGCACACAGGUAGAGGGGGACACACACACACAGCAACUACAGCACACAGGUAGAGGGACACACACACACAGCAACUACAGCACACAGGUAGAGGGACACACACACACAGCAACUACAGCACACAGGUAGAGGGACACACACACACACAGCAACUACAGCACACAGGUAGAGGGACACACACACACACAGCAACUACAGCACACAGGUAGAGGGACACACACACACACAGCAACUACAGCACACAGGUAGAGGGACACACACACACAGCAACUACAGCACACAGGUAGAGGGACACACACACACACAGCAACUACAGCACACAGGUAGAGGGACACACACACACACAGCAACUACAGCACACAGGUAGAGGGACACACACACACACAGCAACUACAGCACACAGGUAGAGGGACACACACACACACAGCAACUACAGCACACAGGUAGAGGGACACACACACACAGCAACUACAGCACACAGGUAGAGGGACACACACACACAGCAACUACAGCACACAGGUAGAGGGACACACACACACAGGUAGAGGGACACACACACACAGGUAGAGGGACACACACACACACACACACACACACACACAGCAACUACAGCACACAGGUAGAGGGACACACACACACAGCAACUACAGCACACAGGUAGAGGGACACACACACACAGCAACUACAGCACACAGGUAGAGGGACACACACACACAGCAACUACAGCACACAGGUAGAGGGACACACACACACAGCAACUACAGCACACAGGUAGAGGGACACACACACACAGCAACUACAGCACACAGGUAGAGGGACACACACACACACAGCAACUACAGCACACAGGUAGAGGGACACACACACACACACACACACAGCAACUACAGCACACAGGUAGAGGGACACACACACACACAGCAACUGCAGCACACAGGUAGAGGGACACACACACACACACAGCAACUACAGCACACAGGUAGAGGGACACACACACACACAGCAACUACAGCACACAGGUAGAGGGACACACACACACACAGCAACUACAGCACACAGGUAGAGGGACACACACACACAGCAACUACAGCACACAGGUAGAGGGACACACACACACACAGCAACUACAGCACACAGGUAGAGGGACACACACACACAGCAACUACAGCACACAGGUAGAGGGACACACACACACAGCAACUACAGCACACAGGUAGAGGGACACACACACACACAGCAACUACAGCACACAGGUAGAGGGACACACACACACAGCAACUACAGCACACAGGUAGAGGGACACACACACACAGCAACUACAGCACACAGGUAGAGGGACACACACACACAGCAACUACAGCACACAGGUAGAGGGACACACACACACAGCAACUACAGCACACAGGUAGAGGGACACACACACACAGCAACUACAGCACACAGGUAGAGGGACACACACACACAGCAACUACAGCACACAGGUAGAGGGACACACACACACACAGCAACUACAGCACACAGGUAGAGGGACACACACACACACAGCAACUACAGCACACAGGUAGAGGGACACACACACACACAGCAACUACAGCACACAGGUAGAGGGACACACACACACACAGCAACUACAGCACACAGGUAGAGGGACACACACACACACAGCAACUACAGCACACAGGUAGAGGGACACACACACACACAGCAACUACAGCACACAGGUAGAGGGACACACACACACACAGCAACUACAGCACACAGGUAGAGGGACACACACACACACAGCAACUACAGCACACAGGUAGAGGGACACACACACACACACAGCAACUACAGCACACAGGUAGAGGGACACACACACACACACAGCAACUACAGCACACAGGUAGAGGGACACACACACACACAGCAACUACAGCACACAGGUAGAGGGACACACACACACACAGCAACUACAGCACACAGGUAGAGGGACACACACACACACAGCAACUACAGCACACAGGUAGAGGGACACACACA
Long non-coding RNA from Salvelinus fontinalis (brook trout), 2342 nucleotides. RefSeq lists it as uncharacterized. The transcript has 3 exons. The record is from RefSeq and is a predicted model, not a curated record. NCBI's taxonomy places the organism in Eukaryota, Metazoa, Chordata, Actinopteri, Salmoniformes, Salmonidae.